This is a long non-coding RNA of Quercus robur (English oak), 675 nucleotides long. RefSeq lists it as uncharacterized. The transcript has 2 exons. Lineage: Eukaryota; Viridiplantae; Streptophyta; Magnoliopsida; Fagales; Fagaceae. The record is from RefSeq and is a predicted model, not a curated record.
CCAGAUACAUCACAAUAGCCUCUACUACGAGAGACAUGUGACUUUCUCUUUUAUCUGUCAAGCAAGAUAGUCUCUUAAGAACCUUAGCAUACAAUGUUGUUAAAUUUUGUUCCAUUUAUCUAAUGUGGAGGUUUCCUUUUGUAUUUUGUGGGAGAAAAAAUCAAUUGAGGUGAAUGUUUCCCUUCUCCCCAUGAGAGCAAUUGGUAGCAGCCAAGAGAGAACUCAUAAAUUUCAGGUUGUAAUAGACAACAUAUGGAUGAAAAUGUGGAUUAAAAGCGUCCAAAAGAUCAACCUAGAGCAGAUGGCCAGAAGAUAAAUACAGCAGAAUUUAGUUUGGUUGAUUAAAAGCAUUCUCAUUUACUUGUGUCACCAACAUAUCAAGGGGGCUGAGGCAAACAAAGUUCAAGGUGGAAGAACUAUCUUUGCACCCCAACAACACGUGGGGUAAGGUGUCGACACUCUAGAACGUCCAUUGGUUCCAACCUCUCUACAUUGGCUGCUAAAUCAGGACCCAUCAGUGACUCACUCCAAGCUCAGUAGCUCUCCUUUAUCAUGGGGAUAAAACCAUUGGCAUAGUGGUUUUAUAUUCAGUUAUUCUAUUUUUUACUAUGAGAAUGUACUCGCAUUCAACUUUCUCUCAUUACUGUUAAUAUUGAGUUUUCUCUUGUAUGAAAA